GAUUAUGGCUCAGGAUGAACGCUAGCUACAGGCUUAACACAUGCAAGUCGAGGGGCAGCAUAACGAAAGCUUGCUUUGUUGAUGGCGACCGGCGCACGGGUGAGUAACGCGUAUCCAACCUUCCCUAUACUAGAGGAUGGCCCGGCGAAAGUCGGAUUAAUACUCUAUGUUCUUCGUAGAAGACAUCUGAAAUGAAGCAAAGGUUUACCGGUAUAGGAUGGGGGAUGCGUCUGAUUAGGUUGUUGGCGGGGUAACGGCCCACCAAGCCCACGAUCAGUAGGGUUCUGAGAGGAAGGUCCCCCACAUUGGAACUGAGACACGGUCCAAACUCCUACGGGAGGCAGCAGUGAGGAAUAUUGGUCAAUGGACGAGAGUCUGAACCAGCCAAGUAGCGUGCAGGAUGACGGCCCUAUGGGUUGUAAACUGCUUUUAUACAGGGAUAAAGUGACGUACGUGUACGUUUUUGUAGGUACUGUAUGAAUAAGGACCGGCUAAUUCCGUGCCAGCAGCAGC
RNAcentral lists this ribosomal RNA (513 nucleotides) under uncultured bacterium. RNAcentral's name for it is "bacterial SSU rRNA". It matches the Rfam family "Bacterial small subunit ribosomal RNA", at positions 15 to 518 of the family's 1533-position model. The record is from RNAcentral.